CCAAUAGCGUAUAUUAAAGUUGUUGCAGUUAAAAAGCUCGUAGUUGAAUUUCGGGGUCAGUAGGUUGGUCAUGCCACUGGUAUGUACUGGUCUCACUGAUUCCUCCUUCCUGAUGAGCCGUAAUGCCAUUAAUUUGGUGUUGCGGGGAAUCUGGACUGUUACUUUGAAAAAAUUAGAGUGUUUAAAGCAGGCUAACGCUUGAAUACAUUAGCAUGGAAUAAUGAAAUAGGACGUUCGAUCUUAUUUUGUUGGUUUCUAAGAUUGACGUAAUGAUUAAUAGGGAUAGUUGGGGGCAUUAGUAUUCAAUUGUCAGAGGUGAAAUUCUUGGAUUUAUUGAAGACUAACUACUGCGAAAGCAUUUGCCAAGGAUGUUUUCAUUAAUCAAGAACGAAAGUUAGGGGAUCGAAGACGAUCAGAUACCGUCGUAGUCUUAACCAUAAACUAUGCCGACUAGGGAUCGGAUGAUGUUAAUUUUUUAAUGACUCAUUCGGCGCCUUACG
Molecule: ribosomal RNA, 500 nt
Filed under: uncultured Glomeromycotina
Lineage: Eukaryota; Fungi; Glomeromycota
Description: partial small subunit ribosomal RNA
Rfam family: Eukaryotic small subunit ribosomal RNA
Source: RNAcentral